Non-coding RNA from Xylogone sp. PMI_703, 107 nucleotides. NCBI's taxonomy places the organism in Eukaryota, Fungi, Ascomycota, Leotiomycetes. The record is from the annotation of a GenBank genome assembly.
GGGUCGAUAGCUCAGCUGGGAGAGCGUCAGACUGAAGUAAAACUUCAAGUUUCAUGAAUUCCAUCUGGAAUAUCUGAAGGUCACCGGUUCGAUCCCGGUUCGACCCA